This 1962-nucleotide long non-coding RNA is filed under the name Homo sapiens (human). RNAcentral's name for it is "non-protein coding lnc-WNT4-3:1". Lineage: Eukaryota; Metazoa; Chordata; Mammalia; Primates; Hominidae. The record is from RNAcentral.
AUGGGGCAGAAAGUUUCAGGGUAUGACAGCUAAAGGGUGUUUUUGAAGAAAAGAGUUUUUGAAGGAAAGAGAAAGUUCUAAAAUUUAUCAGGUGAUAGUUGCACAAUUUUGUGAAUAAACUAAAAACCACUGACUUGUACACUUUAAGUGAAUUGUAUGGUACAGGAAUUAUAUCUCAAUAAAGCUGUUACACUCACCCCACCCCGCCAAAAUUGAGAAAAGGAACAGAAACUCAUUUUAUUGAGAUGAGGAAACCAAGGCCCAAAAAGGUAUGGCAACUUGCCCAAGGAAACUCUGGUGCCUCAACUAGAACCUGGAUCUUCAACUUCCAACUGAGAGCUCUUUCCAACAGUGUUAUUACUACCAUGGGAGAAAUGAAGAUAUAGUAUCAAACACCAUAAUGCAAGUUAGGAGCAAAAACAGGACUUGAUUUAUCACGCUAUAUGUACCAGGGUUCACGGAGUUUUCUAGCAGCAGAGGAGAUAAUCACAAACUCAGCACCCUCCAGUAAAGUCAUUCUUACAAGAAGCCAGUGAAGAAUUCACAGGUGCCUGCCCACCCUUCACAAGCUGCCAAGAGAUGGACCUAACUCCUUAACACCAAUAAUUCCAAUACAAUUGUGAAAUCCUCAAGUUAUGGAGAAAAAGGAGCAUUUCUUUAAGAGCUUCAGAAUCAAGACAAAAAAAAUCCCUCUCCCAUCAAACUAGUGCAAACCUUACAAAGGAGGGCUAAGAAGCUAGCACUGGGGCCCCAUGGUGGGUCUGGAACUCCAUACACAUUUCCAGCCCUAUCAGAGUUGGUUAGAGAUGAAAUUAAAAGCCUUACUCUACUCCUGGCAAUGAGUAUGAGGAGGAAGCCCCUCACUGAUACAGCAGUUUAAGACCCAGAAGUCAACAGGGUUUUCUGGUCCUGAUUUGAUGUGAGCCAACAAUGAUGACAGUGAUGAAGACAGCUGCUAUCUACCCCAUUCAUUUCCACAUAAGAUAUGUAAUGGUAAGCACACAGUUUCCAAAAUCAGACAGAUAGGAUUUCCAACUCUGGCUGCAUAUACCAAGCAAUUAUGAUGUCUCAGAGUCCUGCUCCAUAAAAAGAAGAUACCUGUACUAUCAACCUCAGAGCUGUUGUGAGUAGCAAGUGUGAUAACACCAUGUGCUUAACACAGUGCAAAGGCACACAGUAAGAGCUCAAUUAACAAAGCUGUUAUUUCGCCAGAAUAUGUCCCCAUUUCUUUUAUGAUUCUCAGCAGUUAGGGCAGAGCCCUCCUGGAUGUGAUUAAUAUUCCUUCCUUAGGCCGGGCGCAGUGACUCAUGCCUAUAAUCCCAGCACUUUGGGAGGCUGAGGAGGGCGGAUCAGGAGGUCAGGAGUUUGAGAUCUGUCUGGCCAACAUAGUGACACCCAGUCUCCCUUAAAAAUACAAAAAAUUAGCCGGGCGCAGUGGCAGACACCUGUAAUCCCAGCUACUCAGGAGGCUGAGGCAGGAGAAUCAUGUGAACCUGGGAGGUGGAGGUUGCAGUGAGCGGAGAUGCCACCACUGCACUCCAGCCCGGGCAACAGUGCAAGACCCCGUCUGAAAAUAAAUAAAUAAAUAAAUAAAUAAAUUUUUUUAAAAAAAUGAAUGAAUAGCACUGACUUGGGAUCGGCUAUAUGCCAUCUCUGGGCAAUGGAAUACGAGAAAGUGUAAAUGCGCUUUCCCUUGCCCCUCUUUGGCCCACCAUAAGCAAGUCCACACUCAAGCAGCCACUGCUCUCUGGAACUAGGCUCCAGAAUGACAAACACAAAGCCCACCUGAGCCCAAUCUGAAGGCUAGAGACAAGUUCAGCUGACCCAUGAAUGAGAAAAAUAAAUGCUGUUUUAAUAAGCUACCGUUGGCAUGGUUCAAAUGCAACAUUAUUCUGGCAAGUGAAUAAAAUAAGGAAUUUUUUUUAAGGUGGAGGCACUUUGAAAAAAGACUCAUAGUAGUAA